Small nuclear RNA from Aotus nancymaae (Ma's night monkey), 108 nucleotides. The record is from Ensembl. Lineage: Eukaryota; Metazoa; Chordata; Mammalia; Primates; Aotidae.
GUGCUCACUUCAGCAGCACAUAUACUAAAAUUGGAAUGAUACAGAGAAGAUUAGCAUGGUCCCUGAGCAAGGAUGACAUGCAAAUUUCGUGAAGCGUUCCACAUUUUU